GACGAACGCUGGCGGCGUGCCUAAUACAUGCAAGUCGAACGCACUCUCGUUUAGAUUGAAGGAGUUUGCUCCUGAUUGAUAAACAUUUGAGUGAGUGGCGGACGGGUGAGUAACACGUGGGUAACCUGCCCUAAAGUGGGGGAUAACAUUUGGAAACAGAUGCUAAUACCGCAUAAAACCUAACACCGCAUGGUGUAGGGUUGAAAGAUGGUUUCGGCUAUCACUUUAGGAUGGACCCGCGGUGCAUUAGUUAGUUGGUGAGGUAAAGGCUCACCAAGACCGUGAUGCAUAGCCGACCUGAGAGGGUAAUCGGCCACACUGGGACUGAGACACGGCCCAGACUCCUACGGGAGGCAGCAGUAGGGAAUCUUCCACAAUGGACGAAAGUCUGAUGGAGCAACGCCGCGUGAGUGAAGAAGGUUUUCGGAUCGUAAAACUCUGUUGUUGGAGAAGAAUGUAUCUGAUAGUAACUGAUCAGGUAGUGACGGUAUCCAACCAGAAAGCCACGGCUAACUACGUA
Molecule: ribosomal RNA, 520 nt
Filed under: uncultured bacterium
Lineage: Bacteria
Description: partial 16S ribosomal RNA
Rfam family: Bacterial small subunit ribosomal RNA
Source: RNAcentral